RNAcentral lists this ribosomal RNA (253 nucleotides) under uncultured bacterium. Its description in RNAcentral is "partial 16S ribosomal RNA". It matches the Rfam family "Bacterial small subunit ribosomal RNA", at positions 524 to 776 of the family's 1533-position model. The record is from RNAcentral.
UACGUAGGGGGCAAGCGUUGUCCGGAAUCAUUGGGCGUAAAGCGCGCGUAGGCGGCCCGGUAAGUCCGCUGUAAAAGUCCAGGGCUCAACCCUGGAAAGCCGGUGGAAACUGUCGGGCUAGAGUCCGGAAGAGGCGAGUGGAAUUCCUGGUGUAGCGGUGGAAUGCGCAGAUAUCAGGAGGAACACCGAUGGCGAAGGCAGCUCGCUGGGACGGUACUGACGCUGAGGCGCGAAAGCGUGGGGAGCGAACAGG